RNAcentral lists this unclassified non-coding RNA (1731 nucleotides) under Hevea brasiliensis (rubber tree). Lineage: Eukaryota; Viridiplantae; Streptophyta; Magnoliopsida; Malpighiales; Euphorbiaceae. The record is from RNAcentral.
CAUCUGUCCAUUUUUGCACGGAUUCAAUACAUAUCCUCUUUUUGAAGAUGUGUUAGAACAAAGAAGAGUGAUGGCAGUAGCAGAAGCGAGGGCUGUGUGGCAAAGAACAGCUAAUCGUUGUUUUGUCCAAGAAGAUGCCAAAAGGGCUCCCAAGUUAGCUUGCUGCCAAUCAUCAUCUUCAUCAUCAAAACAGGUUGAUGGGGUACCAACAAAUGCAGCAGACAUACCAGAUAAUCCUGCUGUAGGUUUCAUGCCUCUCCCCAGGAACUCCUCAUAUUCCAACCUUUCCCCUGAUACAAGAUGGUGGCUUCAGCUGCAACCUAGCUAUGGGUACCAAAAAGGUUUGACAUGUGAUCAGUUAAAUGCCUUGGAGGCUGAGAUGGAAAGCCUGAGAGCUGAAAUUGUAAACUCACCCUCUAAACUUGGUGAUGUUCUCCCACAUGAUGACAGACACAGCACAUGUUUAGAUGGCAACAUGAAUAGUGAAUCUUCCUUUGAUGCACAUUGUAGGAUCUCUGCUGAUAGAAUGAUUAAUGAUCCUGAAGUUAAUAAUCAAGAGGCAAAUACUCUAUAUGAUAAGAAUGACCUAGAAUUUAUUGAACUUAAGGACACAAGAGAGAACUUCAAAUGGAUGGAUAUGGAUCCAAUUGAAUGUCCCCAAAAAAGCAAUGAGUAUUGUUUUGAUCCAGAAUCACCUUGGAUUGGGGGUGCGAAGAAUGUGCCAUGGUGGCGUACAACAGAUAAAGAUGACUUGGCCUCUUUGGUUGCACAGAAGUCUCUUGACUACAUUGAGAAUUGUGACCUUCCCCCACCUCAAAAGCUGUGUGUUAGGAGAUAUCCAUGUGGCCGUCCUGUAUCUUCUGAUCAGGUGCAUGACUGUCCCAAUUCUGAAACCAUGAAAGGAAGACAGAAGACUGCAAUUGAAGGGCAGUUACAAAGCAGUUCUGAAAAGCCUUUCAGUUAUACCGCAUCUCAUAAAGAUACAACAGAAAUUGGACAACUUCCUCAGGGUGAUCCGUCUAAGGCUCAGCUCCUGGAAGCACUCCGUCAUUCUCAAACACGAGCCAGGGAAGCUGAAAAGGUGGCAAGGCAGGCCUGUGCUGAAAAGGAACACGUCAUUAAGCUGUUCUUUAGACAAGCCUCACAGCUUUUUGCCUAUAAGCAAUGGUUCCAGUUGCUGCAGCUUGAAACCCUUUAUUACCAGGUGAAGAAUGGUGGCCAGCCAAUGUCCACUCUAUUCCCUGUAGUUCUUCCAUGGAUGCCUCGCAAAGGCAGGAAACUUCAAAAGAGCUGGCAAAAGUCCACAAGGAGCAAACGAGGCAAGCUUGGCCGACCAAGUCAUGACAUUAGCAAGUAUGCUGUUGCAUUUGCGCUGGGGUUGAGUCUUGUUGGNGGUGCUGGCUUGCUCCUGGGAUGGACUGUAGGGUGGAUGUUGCCUUUGUGAGUUUCAGCAAAAUUUCCUACUUACUAAAAUUUAUUUGAGGGAAACUGGUUGGAUUAAAUCUUAGAUGUGUUAGUUUUUUUUUUUUUGUAUAUUCUGCUUUGUUUGCGUACCUGGUGUACAACUGAUUUAGGGGUUGGGGUAAUGUGAAUAUGGUGGGGUAGAUGUUCUGUCAAUGGAAAAUCUCAUCAAAUGUCCCUUUUUGAUUAUCUGUACAUUUGAUUUAAAUCUUAUUUUCAGUGUCUAUGCAGGAAAUCCUCAAGGCAGUGUCUAUUUCCCAAAUUUACAAU